GAUGAACGCUGGCGGCGUGCCUAAUACAUGCAAGUCGAGCGAACGGACGAGAAGCUUGCUUUUCUGAUGUUAGCGGCGGACGGGUGAGUAACACGUGGAUAACCUACCUAUAAGACUGGGAUAACUUCGGGAAACCGGAGCUAAUACCGGAUAAUAUUUUGAACCGCAUGGUUCAAAAGUGAAAGACGGUCUUGCUGUCACUUAUAGAUGGAUCCGCGCUGCAUUAGCUAGUUGUUAAGGUAACGGCUUACCAAGGCAACGAUGCAUAGCCGACCUGAGAGGGUGAUCGGCCACACUGGAACUGAGACGCGGUCAAGACUCCUACGGGAGGCAGCAGUAGGGAAUCUUCCGCAAUGGGCGAAAGCCUGACGGAGCAACGCCGCGUGAGUGAUGAAGGUCUUCGGAUCGUAAAACUCUGUUAUUAGGGAAGAACAUAUGUGUAAGUAACUGUGCACAGCUUGACGGUACCUAAUCAGAAAGCCACGGCUAACUACGUG
RNAcentral lists this ribosomal RNA (497 nucleotides) under uncultured bacterium. RNAcentral describes it as "partial 16S ribosomal RNA". It matches the Rfam family "Bacterial small subunit ribosomal RNA", at positions 28 to 507 of the family's 1533-position model. The record is from RNAcentral.